GAUGAACGCUGGCGGCGUGCCUAAUACAUGCAAGUCGAGCGAACGGACGAGAAGCUUGCUUUUCUGAUGUUAGCGGCGGACGGGUGAGUAACACGUGGAUAACCUACCUAUAAGACUGGGAUAACUUCGGGAAACCGGAGCCAAUACCGGAUAAUAUUUUGAACCGCAUGGUUCAAAAGUGAAAGACGGUCUUGCUGUCACUUAUAGAUGGAUCCGCGCUGCAUUAGCUAGUUGGUAAGGUAACGGCUUACCAAGGCAACGAUGCAUAGCCGACCUGAGAGGGUGAUCGGCCACACUGGAACUGAGACACGGUCCAGACUCCUACGGGAGGCAGCAGUAGGGAAUCUUCGGCAAUGGGCGAAAGCCUGACGGAGCAACGCCGCGUGAGUGAUGAAGGUCUUCGGAUCGUAAAACUCUGUUAGUAGGGAAGAACAGAUGUGUAAGUAACCGUGCACAUCUUGACGGUACCUAAUCAGAAAGCCACGGCUAACUACGUG
This 497-nucleotide ribosomal RNA is filed under the name uncultured bacterium. RNAcentral's name for it is "partial 16S ribosomal RNA". It matches the Rfam family "Bacterial small subunit ribosomal RNA", at positions 28 to 507 of the family's 1533-position model. The record is from RNAcentral.